Long non-coding RNA from Gopherus evgoodei (Goodes thornscrub tortoise), 129 nucleotides. RefSeq lists it as uncharacterized. The transcript is spliced from 3 exons. The record is from RefSeq and is a predicted model, not a curated record. NCBI's taxonomy places the organism in Eukaryota, Metazoa, Chordata, Testudines, Testudinidae.
UGCAAAACCUAUCCCAAGGUGUGGAACUGCCUACCCCGUCACUUUCCCCCGCCCAUGGAAAAUCUAUAUAUUCUGCUGUAAUCAAUUAAUUGAGAGUACUUGUCAUAAACAGAUAGUUAAGGGUUAAUG